AGCGACGCCGCGUGGGGGAUGACGGCCUUCGGGUUGUAAACCUCUUUCCCCAUGACGAAGCGAAAGUGACGGUAGUGGGAGAAGAAGCACCGGCUAACUACGUGCCAGCAGCCGCGGUAAUACGUAGGGUGCAAGCGUUAUCCGGAAUUAUUGGGCGUAAAGAGCUCGUAGGCGGUUUGUCACGUCUGCUGUGAAAACUGGAGGCUCAACCUCCAGCCUGCAGUGGGUACGGGCAGACUAGAGUGCGGUAGGGGAGAUUGGAAUUCCUGGUGUAGCGGUGAAAUGCGCAGAUAUCAGGAGGAACACCGGUGGCGAAGGCGGUUCUCUGGGCAUGACCUGACGCUGAGGAGCGAAAGCAUGGGGAGCGAACAGGAUUAGAUACCCUGGUAGUCCAUGCCGUAAACGGUGGGUACUAGGUGUGGGUUCCUUUUCACGGGAUCCGUGCCGUAGCUAACGCAUUAAGUACCCCGCCUGGGGAGUACGGCCGCAAGGCUAAAACUCCAAGGAAUUGACGG
This 515-nucleotide ribosomal RNA is filed under the name uncultured bacterium. RNAcentral's name for it is "bacterial SSU rRNA". It matches the Rfam family "Bacterial small subunit ribosomal RNA", at positions 390 to 916 of the family's 1533-position model. The record is from RNAcentral.